This 237-nucleotide ribosomal RNA is filed under the name uncultured bacterium. Its description in RNAcentral is "partial 16S ribosomal RNA". It matches the Rfam family "Bacterial small subunit ribosomal RNA", at positions 15 to 245 of the family's 1533-position model. The record is from RNAcentral.
GAUCAGGCUCAGGAUGAACGCUAGCUACAGGCUUAACACAUGCAAGUCGAGGGGCAGCAUCAUCAAAGCUUGCUUUGAUGGAUGGCGACCGGCGCACGGGUGAGUAACACGUAUCCAACCUGCCGACAACACUGGGAUAGCCUUUCGAAAGAAAGAUUAAUACCGGAUGGCAUAAUUUUCCCGCAUGGGAUAAUUAUUAAAGAAUUUCGGUUGUCGAUGGGGAUGCGUUCCAUUAGG